This 2346-nucleotide ribosomal RNA is filed under the name fermentation metagenome. RNAcentral describes it as "bacterial LSU rRNA". It matches the Rfam family "Bacterial large subunit ribosomal RNA", at positions 14 to 2303 of the family's 2925-position model. The record is from RNAcentral.
AGGGCAUACGGUGGAUGCCUUGGUACCAACAGCCGAAGAAGGACGUGGCAAGCUGCGAGAAGCUGCGGCGAGGCGCAAGCGGCCUUUGACCCGCAGAUGUCCGAAUGGGGCAACCCACCUGGAGUAGUCCAGGUAUCCCGUAAGGGAAGGAACCCGGAGAAGUGAAACAUCUCAGUAUCCGGAGGAAGAGAAAUCGAAGAGAUUCCCUAAGUAGUGGUGAGCGAACGGGGAAGAGCCUAAACCAUAUACAUGUAAGGCUGCGGUCGUUGUGUAUAUGGUGUAGAGGGGCUUUUCAUGCAUAGUCCGCAGGCUAGGCACGGAGUUAUCAAGAUACUUUUUAGCAGAACUGUGUUGGGAAAGCAGGCCAUAGACGGUGAGAGCCCGGUAUGCGACAGAGAGUAUCCUCCGAGAAGAGUUCCCGAGUAGGCCGGAGCACGUGGAAUUCCGGUUGAAUCAGGGUGGACCAUCAUCCAAGGCUAAAUACUGUUGGUGACCGAUAGUGGAUGAGUACCGAGAGGGAAGGGUGAAAAGCACCCCUGGCGGGGAGUGAAAUAGACCUGAACCCGUAUGCCUACAAGCAAUCGGAGCAAGAGAUGCCGCGAGGCAUUGAAUGUGACGGUGUGCCUUUUGUAAAAUGAGCCGGCGAGUUAUUAGACGUAGCGAGGUUAAGGUGCGUAUGUGCACUGGAGCCGUAGGGAAACCGAGUCUGAAUAGGGCGCAAGUUUCGUUUAAUAGACCCGAAGCCGCACGAUCUAUCCAUGGCCAGGUUGAAGUCCGGGUGAAGCCGGAUGGAGGACCGAACCAGUUUCUGUUGAAAAAGAUUUGGAUGAGCUGUGGAUCGGAGUGAAAAGCUAAUCGAGUGCGGUGAUAGCUGGUUCUCCCCGAUAUGCAUUGAGGUGCAGCCUUACGGAAUUGAGAUAUGGGGGUAGAGCACUGGAUGGACGCGGGGGACUGGGGUCCUACCAAAUUCAACCAAACUUCGAAUACCAUAUUUUGUACCGUAGGAGUGAGACUACGGGUGAGAAGGUCCGUGGUCGUGAGGGAAACAGCCCAGACCGUCAGCUAAGGUCCCAAAGCGUAUGCUAAGUGUGGCAAGGAUGUGAGAGUGCCUGGACAGCCAGGAGGUUGGCUUAGAAGCAGCCACCCUUUAAAGAGUGCGUAACAGCUCACUGGUCGAGGACUUUUGCGCCGAGAAUGUAGGGGGCUAAGCAUACUGCCGAAGCUGCGGGAUAUGUGCAAGAGUGUAUAUAUCGGUAGGGGAGCGUUCCAUACGGGGCGAAGCAGAGCCGCGAGGUCAUGUGGACUGUAUGGAAGUGAGAAUGCUGGCAUGAGUAACGCGAAGUGCGUGAGAAACGUACUCACCGGAAGCCCAAGGGUUCCUGGGGAAGGUUCAUCCGCCCAGGGUUAGGCGGGACCUAAGGCGAGGCCGAGAGGCGUAGUCGAUGGAUAGCAGGUAGAUAUUCCUGUCCCAGCCAAUGAGCGUUAAUACCGAAGGGGUGACACAGAAAGCUAGGUGAUCCGGGUGAUGGAAGUCCCGGUCCAAGGGUGUAGGGAGUUUCCGCAGGCAAAUCCGCGGGAAUAAUUCUGAGACCUGAUGGGGAGGCCCUACGGGGUCGAAGUCAUUGAAGCUCGGCUGUCGAGAAAAGCCUCUAGGGAGUUUGUUGGUUGCUCGUACCCGAAACCGACACAGGUGGGCUAGCUGAGGAAGCUAAGGUGAGCGGGAAAACCCUCGUUAAGGAACUCUGCAAGUUGACCCCGUAACUUCGGGAGAAGGGGUGCCACUCUGGUGAAAUAUAAUCAUAUGGAGCUAAGGGUGGUCGCAGAAACCAGGCUCAGGCGACUGUUUACUAAAAACACAGGUCUCUGCAUAAGGCGUAAGCCGAAGUAUAGGGACUGACACCUGCCCGGUGCUGGAAGGUUAAAUGGAGAGGUUAGCGUAAGCGAAGCCUUGAUAUGAAGCCCCAGUAAACGGCGGCCGUAACUAUAACGGUCCUAAGGUAGCGAAAUUCCUUGUCGGGUAAGUUCCGACCUGCACGAAUGGUGUAACGAUCUGAGCACUGUCUCAACGAGGGACCCGGUGAAAUUGUGGUACUGGUAAAGACGCCAGUUACCUGUGGUGGGACGGAAAGACCCCGUGGAGCUUUACUGUAGCCUGAUAUUGGAUUUUGGUCUGUCAUGUACAGGAUAGGUGGGAGGCGUAGAAUGGAGGGCGUCAGCCUUUCAGGAGCCGUUGUUGGGAUACCACCCUUGACAUACCGAAGUUCUAACUGUUGAGUCUGAAUCGGCUGGCAGGACAUUGUCAGGUGGGCAGUUUGACUGGGGCGGUCGCCUCCUAAAGAGUAACGG